MicroRNA precursor from Ailuropoda melanoleuca (giant panda), 83 nucleotides. The record is from Ensembl. NCBI's taxonomy places the organism in Eukaryota, Metazoa, Chordata, Mammalia, Carnivora, Ursidae.
UUUUUCAUCUGGCUGUUGUGGUGUGCAAAAUUUUGUACAUUGCUUUUGCUGCACUGCAACACUUUACAGAUGUGGAAGAUGUG